RNAcentral lists this ribosomal RNA (497 nucleotides) under uncultured bacterium. RNAcentral's name for it is "partial 16S ribosomal RNA". It matches the Rfam family "Bacterial small subunit ribosomal RNA", at positions 28 to 507 of the family's 1533-position model. The record is from RNAcentral.
GAUGAACGCUGGCGGCGUGCCUAACACAUGCAAGUCGAGCGAAAAGACGAGGAGCUUGCGCCUUUGACGUUGGCGGCGGACGGGUGAGUAACGCGUGGAUAACCUACCUAUAAGACUGGGAUAAUCUCGGAAAACCGGAGCUAAUACCAGAGAAUAUGUCGAACCGCAUGGUUCGAUGGUGAAUGACGGCUUUGCUAUCUCUUAUAGAUGGACCUGCGCCGUAUUGGCUAGUUGGUAAGGUAACGGCUUACCAAGGCGACGAUACGUAGCCGACCUGAGAGGAUGAUCGGCCACACUGGAACUGAGACACGGUCCAGACUCCUACGGGAGGCAGCAGUAGGGAAUCUUGGGCAAUGGGCGAAAGCCUGACCCAGCAACGCCGCGUGAGUGAUGAAGGUCUUCGGGUCGUAAAGCCCUGUUAUUAGGGAAGAACAGCUGUUGAUUAAACCGUGGACGUCUUGACGGUACCUAAUCAAUAAGCACCGGCUAACUACGUG